RNAcentral lists this ribosomal RNA (802 nucleotides) under uncultured bacterium. RNAcentral's name for it is "bacterial SSU rRNA". It matches the Rfam family "Bacterial small subunit ribosomal RNA", at positions 25 to 865 of the family's 1533-position model. The record is from RNAcentral.
CAGGAUGAACGCUGGCGGUAUGCCUAACACAUGCAAGUCGUACGAGAGUUUUUAACUCAAGUGGCGGACGGGUGAGUAACACGUGAGAAUCUGCCUUUAGGAGGGGGACAACAACUGGAAACGGUUGCUAAUACCCCAUAUGCUUUCGAGUGAAAUGAAUUUAUUCGCCUAAAGAGGAGCUCGCGGCUGAUUAGCUUGUUGGUAGAGUAAUAGCCUACCAAGGCGACGAUCAGUAUCUGGUUUGAGAGGACGAUCAGACACACUGGAACUGAGACACGGUCCAGACUCCUACGGGAGGCAGCAGUGGGGAAUUUUCCGCAAUGGGCGAAAGCCUGACGGAGCAAUACCGCGUGAGGGAAGACGGCCUAUGGGUUGUAAACCUCUUUUCUCAGGGAGGAAUUCAAUGACGUGUACCUGAGGAAUAAGCAUCGGCUAACUCCGUGCCAGCAGCCGCGGUAAGACGGAGGAUGCAAGUGUUAUCCGGAAUCACUGGGCGUAAAGCGUCUGUAGGUUGUUUAAUAAGUCAACUGUUAAAUCUUGAGGCUCAACCUCAAAAUCGCAGUCGAAACUAUUAGACUAGAGUAUAGUAGGGGUAAAGGGAAUUUCCAGUGGAGCGGUGAAAUGCGUAGAGAUUGGAAAGAACACCGAUGGCGAAGGCACUUUACUGGGCUAUUACUAACACUCAGAGACGAAAGCUAGGGUAGCAAAUGGGAUUAGAUACCCCAGUAGUCCUAGCUGUAAACAAUGGAUACUAGAUGUUGAACAGAUCGACCUGUGCAGUAUCAAAGCUAACGCGUUAAGU